GAAUACCAUGAAUGAAUGAACAUACAUGAGAACGAAGAGAUCAUGAUCAACCUGAAGAAUUAGAACAGACGGGGAUAUUAAAAAUGAAUGGAAAACAUGAGAAUGAAGAGAUCUUGAGCCGACUAACAGAAAACUUGAAUGAGGAACUGGAAUAAUUGAGAGACGGACGAAGAGACACAAUUGAGAAGAAUUUGAGAAUGAAAGCUGAAAGCUGAGAACGAAGAAAUCUUCUGAAAUGAUGGCCUUCGGAGGAUCAAGAAAAGAAACAACUCUGCAAAGCACCGGAUAGAUAUGGAAGGAAUUUCUCAUGAUUGGAAAAAAUUGAGAAGAUAGCGCGAAGCUGAGAUGACAAUCUUCAAAAGAAUGGACAAGAUUUAAGAGAAACUCUCCUUCCGUCUUCAAUGGAGAGAAUGGUAGCCAGGAACACCAUCAAGAAUUACUCACACUCUGGAUUAAUGAAUAAGGAAAAGUUGAGCCAAUGAUGAAAACAAAUUUGAAGCGAUCUUGGAGAAGGAAUAUGACUGAUGGGAUUCAUACUUACAUCAUAAUUAAAAAGAAUAAGAGAUCUUCGGAAAAGAUUAGAAGAGCAAGGUAAGAUCCUAGGAAAACCUGUGGGUUAUGGGUCCACUCAAAAGAAACCACCAUUGAAACAAUUGCUAAGAAAGAGAGAUAUUGCACUGGUACAAAUGAAAACUUGAUGAGGUGAGAACCUAAAAAAUUUGAACGGAUUGAAAACACGAAACUUCUGAGAUACCGUCAACACUCCGGAUAGAACAGAGAUGGAUGAAUAACAAGGGAAGCUUGAUGAGAAUUUGAACAUGGAAAAUCAUUUACAGGAUAAAAAGAACAUGAUGAGCACUCACAGCUUGAAUUGAAUUUACUGGAAAGAAAAAACAAGAAUAAAGAAUGAUGAACUAGCAACUCCUGAGAAUCUUCACAAUGAAUCACCGAAUACAAAACGGAAGAGACGAUAGCGGAAGCAACAUGAAAAGAAAUGCACUUGGAUAACAAUUAAAACACUAAAGAAAAGGGUGGAACGGUGGGGAAAAACAAAGAUAACUUGGGACAGAUGAGACGACCUCCGGAAAGAAAUGAGAGAUUGAUCUUGCAAAUAUUGGAGAGUACUUAAUUAUAUUGAAGAGAAGCACUCCGAUUGGUAAAGAAUUGACAUGACAACUCCGUUUGGCAAGAAUUGAUAAGACAAUUUGAUUGAGCAAAAGAAUUAGCACUCUCAUAAAAAAUAUGAGAAUAGCACUUUGGAAAGAUAUGAAGUCACCACUUGACAUUGAAGCAACUCGAAUUACCAUACUCCAACAAAACAAAGGAUGAGGCUUAUGAAACAAGCCAGAACAAAUUCAUGACAGAGAUUUCGCUCGAUAUUUUCGUUGUAAGCUUCGUACGGGCUCUAUCCUACAGUAGCCAUCAUGUACAAGGCAGUGCACACGACAUACGAAGCGUCCCCGAAUAGUAGCAAGCUACAAGGACUCUUUAAGACACAACGAGAAAUGUUGUAAGACGACCGUGAACAAACGAAUCCACUAGAUGUAGAACCCCAACCUCACAUCAUGCAUCUGUUGGAAGAUAAUCCUAUAGGUAAUGACUUGAAUUCCCACCUAAGAACUCCCGAAAUUUUCUGGUCAGGCAAUUGGGUCCACGGAUACAAGGAGUAAAAUCCAUCACUCAAAUCCUAGAAAUAACACUGACCCGUCUAGUGUCUCACAUCUGUAAACACACAACCAGAGAUCUCGGAAACUCAUCUACCUCAGAACCUCGAAAACACAACGAUACUAAGUAUGGCAGUACAUCCGGACACUCUGCACCAGUAUUAGGGAUGCCGGACUCCUCUCGCCACUAAUAGUAUUGAAGCAAUUUCGAACAUCCUCCAUCUUGAGAUACUAAGAAAUCUGAAUGAUAACGAUGUGCUCAAGAAUCCUCUGGAGCUCAACUCCCUGGAAGAAAUCAAUUCAAACAAGAGGCACCAAGACAGAACUCCGUCACAUCAACAUCACAUAGAUACCAAAAUACUCGUGUGAUCAUAAAAAAAUUGAGUGAGAAGAAGAGUACAAUUAAAAUUCUUACGUCAAGAUUCCUCACCAAAGCAUAGAAGAGGAGAAAAAAGAAUCCUACUCUCUGAUAUAUAACUAGACUCAAAACAGUUUUUCACUAGACUCGACUCGGCCAAGUUUGAUUAAUAAAGGGGCUCCUAGGUCGGUUCUACUCUGAUACCAACUUGUAACGCCCAAGAUGUGAUCCUAUCCUUAGUUUGGCAUGAGGGUCUUGACAGGGAUAGAAGCACAUCUCGUCGUUUCGCAAGAAUGUAUAUCGUUACAAGUACAUGUACAAAACAAAUGAGUAUAUGAAAUUGGCUUACACUCGCCACAAGCUACAGCAAGAUCACAUCAAUACAGCAAUAUACAGUCAUCAUGUAGAAGAGCACAGUCCGGCUACAGAUGAAAACAAACGACAAAAGAACGACGUCCAUCCUUGCUAUCCAAGGCUGCCGUCCUAGAACCCAUCCUAGAUCGAUCAAGAAAAAGAAGAAGAAACUCCAAAUAGAAAAAUCAUUACGUCCACGUCAAAGAAUAUAUUUACAUGUACAUGUAACUUGUGUUGUAGUAAUCUGUGAGCCACAGGGACUCAACAAUCUCAUUUCCAAAGGUAUUAAGACUAACAAAGCUUAAUGGGUGAUGUAUUGUUAAGUGGUGAGGCUGCAGCAAGCGACUACGCAUUUAUUUGAGGUGGCUAACUUAGGAGUACAAGAUUAAAGGGGGAUGUUCUAUGCAUUAUGGACGUGAACUAAUAAUGACCAAAUGAAUGAUCCUGAACACCUACUUAUGUCAAGCAUAUCCCCACUGUGUCCUCUUCCGGGUAUAGAACUCACGAGCAGAUAUAGUUACGGUUACACACAUAGUUGGCAAGUUUUAAUUAAGUUUACUUCAAUUUAUCUAGAACCGAAAGUUAAACAAAGUUUCCAAGUUUGCCACAUAACCGCCGUCACGGCUUUCCGAUAGAUUUAACCCUGUCGGGGUGCUCCAACUAGUCCAUCACAAACUACCACACGCUGCGCCGGAAUGACCUUGAUCAGGGAAACCCGUGAUCUUGUCGGGUUCCUACUGGAAAACCUCAACCUCGAGAUAGCCCAGAGUAUCCUCGGAAUCCCAUACACGAGACGCACGAGAAAGGUAAAACAAGUCCAGCAAGGUCACCCGACGUGUCGACGAUCCCGAUAGAAGCCGUGUAUCUCGUUCUCAGGACACGACGGAUAAGCAAAGCGUACGGUGGCCUGAUAGACAUAUCCCGAGUUGCCCCGGGUUAGCCCCACAUGGCGCUCUAUUUUGGACCAGCACCAGCAGCACGGCCCCCUGUAUUAUGUUGAAUUACUCAUCGGGUUCUUGACGCCCUAUGUUUUUCAGUAUUAUUAUGUUGGGCAAAUAUAGUACCAAUGUUGGACCUUGCCAGAUGAGUUUUAUCCCAAAAAGAAAAUCUAGGGGCUCCCCAUAACUACCCCUAGGAUGUUAAGAGCAUUCAUUUACGGAAUAUAACACCGAUAGCCGAAACUAAGGCAACAAAGGUGGAACAAAGCACCAGGCUAGAAGACCAAGCCUUCCACCUUUUACCAAGUAUAUAGAUGCAUUAAAUUAAAUGGCAAUAAUAUGGUGAUAUAACAAGGAACCCAUGUUGGCACAUGGAAGCAACUGCACGUGCAACUAGCAAUGCUAACAAAAGGCAACAAGUGGUAACAUAGCCAAACAGUGGUUUGCUGGGUUGUGAAAAGGUUAGAGGUUUUCAUGGCAAUGUUGGGAGGCUUAUUUAACACUUGGUAGGCAGCAAGUCAUAGAGAAAGAAAUGAGACAACUAGCAUGGCAAUGAUAGUAAUGGUAUCUAGGGAAAUGAUCAUCUUGCAUGUGAUCCCGAUUGGAAGAAGAAUGAAUUCGUGAAGGAGACGAACCGGCGUUGUCGAACGUAUCCUCACACUCUGAAACGGUUCAGAAAUCUAUCGAGAAGAAGCAACCGUAACAGCAAUCAACACACAAUACACCACAACAUAUGCAUGACAUGAUGCACAACACGUAUCAGUGGCGGAGGCCCCCGGUGGGCAAGGUGUGGCAGCCGCCACACCUUGAUUUGGUUCAAAAAAUUUAAUACAUGUAUGCAUAUCAUCAUUUGCUAGCUUGCUGGCUCUUGCUUGAUGGAAAAGAAUUGCUGAAAAAACAAAAGGGACACGCAGCCUCCCUAAUUGGGCCUAUGACAAUGCCGAGCGACGCAUGUAGAUGUUUCGUAUGGUUGUAUCUAGAAAUUUUCAUAUAUGUAUCAUCGUGUUCGUGUCUCUAUAGAUGUUUCGUAGGUUACGGUACAUGCCACUUAUCAAGAUCAAAAGGAUUCAAAAAAAUUGCGUGUUAUUAUGUUUAAGAGUCCGCCACACCUUAAUUUAUUUUUGUCCUCCGCCUCUGACACGUAUGAUGCAUGAUCAUUUCAAUUAUGCAAGGCAUGGCAUGGCAAUUCACAACAAUGAAAUACUACAUAUUAAGUGAAGCUCAAUAUGCAUCGAGUUACAUAUUGACGAAACUCCACAAACGAAUUAUUUAGUUAACUCCCGUUUAGGUACAUGGAAUAUUAAAUGUUGUUUAAACAUGCCAGACAUUAAGCACAAAUAAACUACAUAUCAAGGCAUUUUAAAUGAGGUCGGAAACGACAUAUAGCAUUUGACGACCACAUGUGUUAACUUCAAAAUCUACCAGAUAUCACCUAAACAUACUUUAUGUUUGUUUAACGGAAAAGUAAAGUGGUUCACGUGAUUGUACGUGUCAUUCUAGUCGAUUUACAUAUAUGGAUCAUCUUCAACGGAGUUGUGGUCUAAAAGAUACGUGCAGCACAAGAUAUUAUGCCAUGAAUGCAACAUGCGUGCAAAAGACAGCCAUGGCACGUUCCGGUUUCGAUAACUUGAUGAGAUACCUGUGCAAAUGAAUUGGGAGUGUGUGCGUGUCAUACCAAAGAAUGAUGGGGCGAACCCGGUUACCGAACCGAGUGCGUGAGAUACCAAAGAGUGUGUGCGUGUCACAAAAAAAUGUGAACUACAAGGGACUCGAACCGAGGUCUUCCUGCCUGAUAGCGUUGUGGGUUGACCAGCUCGGCUACGCCAUGUGCUACUAACAAAACCAGGGUUUGCUCAAUAUAAAUCUGCUAAGGAGCCAACCUGAACGAAACAUAACAAAAACGAAAAUACGGGUGCAUGGGAUUCUAACCCAGACUGCUUGCAUGCAAGGUGACGCCGCUAGCCAACUCGGCUACUCAGGUGGUCGUGGGAAAACAUAGCAGCUAUUUUAAAUAAGCUCAACAAGCAUACCAGAUCUGGCAAAAAAUAAAAAGAACUUCAGACCGGAAGGAACUACUUACAUGUGGAAAAACAAAGACGCGGCCAUGGCUAAAAGACGCACGGGAGGAUCGCGGAUGAGCUCGAGGAGGCAUGGAGUUGGGCGAGGGGCUCGAUCUGGCUAGAUUCCUGACCAUAGACGAGGCCAUAGGCGUUGGAGCUCCUUGCUCGGGAUGUGGGGAACCUCCAACCGACGGGCAAGGCGACGGAGCUGUAGCUCGAGAAGAUGACGGAGAUGGGACCUCGAGGCCUGGCUCUGCCAUGGGUGCUGUAGCUGCGGGGAUGACGAACUUGAGGUUUUGGGCUCCAUGGCGUUCCAUGUCUGCUGCACCUGCAGAAACGAGGGGGUGAGGUAAGAGAACAGGAGAGAGAGAAAAAAAUAGAGGGGGGGAGAGAGCACAGGAAAGGAGAGAGACCACGGACGCGUGGCUGGCCUGGUUCUGCUGCGGGGCUGCUCCGACGACGGCGCUCGCCGGCGCGGCUGCCGGAGUCGGACGAAUACGGCGGCGCUGGACGAGGCCCUCAGGCAGAGGCACUUCCCUCAACCCAGAUGGGAUCGAGAGCUGCGGGAGGCUGGGAGGGCUCACUACGGGCUCUGCGAGGAGUGUCGUGGCCGCUAGAUCUGCAAUCCGGUGGUCCAGAUCGGGUGAGGGGCUGGAGCUGCAGGGAGAGUUGGAGGAUGCCGGCUGGGGUGGUGCUGAAAACAAGGAGGCUAGGUGGCUGGCGGUGGCUGGAUCCUGAGG
Molecule: long non-coding RNA, 6114 nt
Filed under: Hordeum vulgare
Lineage: Eukaryota; Viridiplantae; Streptophyta; Magnoliopsida; Poales; Poaceae
Description: long non-coding RNA (HVUL_LNC004002)
Source: RNAcentral